GGAUGGGCUCCUAGCAGCGGUUGCGUCCCUCCUGGAUUUCCUCUUCAGGCCUGAAGCGCAGCCUUUGGAGGCGCGGGGCUUUUCCCAGUCUCAUGUAUCCCCCUCGCAGCGGGAGGAGGAGGAGGCGUAGCCGUGUCGGUAGCGAGGGUUUGGGAGGCUCCGAGACAGUUCGGUUCCCCUUUUCCGUCCCACUCCUUUGGACCUCUUGGCAAUUUCAUCCCUGAGUGAAGUGUUUGUGCUAAUUCCUUCCCUCCGUGGGAAGCUGGUGCCCAACGCCUCCGAAAUCGUGGACUGCGUGAGUAUCUUGAAUAACACAUCUGUACAUAGUUUAUUGACUGAGCACAAUGAGCAGUGAAGAAGAAGCAUGGGAGAAAUUGGAUUCAGAAUUUGACCAUUAUGUUGUGGAUAUGAAGUCUUAUGUUUUAAAACUACCUCAUAAAUCAGAACGUUACAGAUGUGCUGUUUGGAUUAAAAAACUUUGUGAGCCUUCAGGUGCUGGUACAGGAAUUGUUGGUAGAAAGAAUAGAAACUUAUAUGCAAAACUGCUUCUUCAUAUGCUAAAGCGAGGAGUGCUGGAAGGACCAUUUACACAAAAACCUGAAUCAGGCAUAUUGAAAACACUUCCAUCAUACAUGUCAAUCUAUUUUGAUGAACCAAGUUCAAAAAGAGCUUGGAGUAACAUGCCAGAAGAUUUACGUGACUGGGUCAUGGAAGAAUUGGGCCAAAGUGACUAUAAACCAGAUGAAUCCUGGAAACUUUCCUUUAAAGAAGAGUCUGCUUUGGUUAGCACACCAUCUAAACAAAGAGAACAAUAUACCUGUAAUGGAAAACUAGCCUUAAGAUCACAUUCUACGAGUCCUCCUCAUUUGUCAGAAGAUGAGAACUUUCCAUCAAAGACAAGGGGAGAUUGUUAUAGAAGAAAAACUUCUUUUGAUGACAGUGACUUUGACGCUCGUCUCAACAGUUGGAAUCUUGGGCUUGAAAAUCCUAGAUAUUUACGUGAGAAACCUAUGUCUCUCUCAUUGAUGUCACCCAAGUUAGGUAUGGGGAAAAACAGCACUUCUCGAGAUGAACAAGCAUUAUUCCGAAUACAUGAAAAGGAGCUGGAGAUGAAAUCAAAAUUGAUGGAAGCUAGACUUCAUGAAGAAAAACUUAAAUUACAGCAGAAGCACGAUGCAGAUGUUCAAAAGAUUCUGGAUAGAAAAAACAAUGAAAUUGAGGUACUGAAGAGCUUGUAUAUAACCAAACAGAAUGAAGCUGAAGAGACUAUUCAGAAGCUUGAAAAAAAAGUUCAGACACUUGUUCGUGAGUCACAAGUCAUCAGAGAAGCUCAAGAGAAACAAAUUCUGGAGUUAAAAAAGUUAUGUGAGCACAGUACAGAUUCCCUGAACAAUGAAUGGGAGAAAAAGCUCCAUAAUGCGGUAGCUGAGAUGGAAAAAGACAAGUUUAAUCUUCAGAAAAAACACACAGAAAAUAUCCAAGAAUUGCUGGAGGAUACAAAUGCACGUUUAAGUAAAAUGGAAGCAGAAUAUUUGGCAGAGACCAAAACAACUAACCAGAUGGUCAAAGAGCUGGAGGCCCGAGUCCAUCAGUUGACAAUGGAAGCUGAAACAAGUCAUUUGCAGCAUCAGAAAUUAUCUCAAGAAAAAAAUAAUCUGGAACAGUCUUACCAGGUUGCAUCUUUAGAACUUGAAGAAAUUAAGGCAAGGCAUAAUUCACUUCAGAAGGAAAGAGGGCGCAUGAUGGAAGAACAUAAACAGAACAUUAAACAAUUACAAAGCAAGUAUGAAGUGGAUCUAAAUUUGAUGAAGAGGGAACAUGCUCUUUCUGCAAUGAAGACAUCUGAUGUGAUAGAGGAUUUAAAGCAGUGUGUGUCUCAAUUAAAACAACAGUUAGUAGAAUCAGACCAUCAAAGGCAACAACAAUUGCAGGAACAAGAGCAAAUGUUUCUACAAGAAACAACUGAUUUAGAGAGAAUUCAUGAAAAAAAGAUUUAUGAAAUUCAGAGUGAUUUUGAUAAAGAGAGAAUAGAAUCACACAAGAAGAUACGGAAGCUGGAAGAUCUUCUGAGGGAGAGGGAGGAGCACCUGACUCAGGUGAUGGAGGCACAGAGACUACAAGCCCAGCAGGCUGAUGCUGCCUUGGAGGAGUUUAAGCGGCAGGUGGAGCUGAACUCAGAAAAAGUGUACGCAGAAAUGAAAGAACAGAUGGAAAAGGUAGAAGCAGAUCUUGGCAAAUCAAAAUCUUUCCGGGAGAAGCAGUCAAAAGAGUUCUCCUGGCAGUUGGAGGAGCUGAAGCAAAAAUAUGAACAACAGAUAGUAGAGCUGAAGCUGGAGCACGAACAGGAAAAGACGCACCUAUUCCAAGAACAUAACACAGAAAAGGAUUGCCUGGUCCGAGACCAUGAACGGGAAAUUGAGAAACUAGAAAAACAGCUUCGGGCUGCCAUGACAGACUACGACAAUAAAACCCAGGAAUAUAGGAAACGAGAUGCUCAGAUCAUCUGUGACAUGGAAGCCCAGAUCCAUACUCUGAGGGAAGAGCUGAUUCAGGUGAAUACUCAAAGAAAACAGCAGUUGGUAGAACUUAGUCUUCUUCGGGAAGAAGAAAAACAAAGAGCUUCUAGAGAUCAUGAGACUGCCAUGAACAAACAGAAAACUGAGUCAGAAAAAAUGAUUCUGGACCUGAGGAAGACUAAUGCUGCAGAAAAGGAAAUGACACUGGAAAAGGCCAACAGCAAGUUGAAGCAGAUUGAAAAGGAAUACAGUCAGAAGCUCGCCAAAUCUUCACAGAUCAUAACUGAACUUAAGACAACCAUUUCCUCUCUGACAGAGGAAAGCAACCAGCGGCAACUUGCUGGAGAAAGGCGUCUGCAAGAUGUUUUACAAAAGUUUGAAGAUGAGAAGCAGCAGCUGAUUAGAGAUAAUGACACAGCAAUCAAGGGUUUACAAGAUGAGAUUGAAAGUUACUGCAAUCAGGUUCAUUCUGCAGAAGAAAAGCUGCAACAGAAAGAUCUGGAGACACAGGAACAGGUGACUUCUAUACGGCAAGAAUAUGAAACCAAAUUGAAAGGUCUAAUGCCAGCAUCUUUGCGACAAGAACUUGAAGACACAAUUCUCUCACUAAAAUCUCAGGUAAACUUUUUACGAAAAAGAGCAUCAAUUCUACAAGAGGAACUGAGUACAUAUCGCACCAGAAGGUAAUUACUGAAAGUGACAGUUGUUUCAAGCGUCGAAUGGAUUUCUUUCAACAGGGAUAGAUCAUCAUGCAACACUUGAAAAAGAAGUUCAACUUCUGUCUGUCAUGAUUGCCACCCUCGGUGUAGAUGGCUUCCCGGAGAUGCAGGCUUGCUUGCGUUCCCUGAGGCUUUUUCAAGGUGAGCAACCAGAGGUUAGCAGGUGAGGUGUUGGGGAGCUAUUAAUAUGCAAAGACUGCUUGCUUAUUCAUGUUCCUGCUCCCAAAGAGUUCACACCACUGAAGGUUGGAUAUUAAAAUUAAUUAUUGUAUGCCAUCCUGGAGUAACUUUUCAUGAGAUGGGCAGCUAUAUACCGGUAAAUUUGAUUAAUAAAUAAAUAAAAGCCAACAUCCUACUUCCUUGCAUUAUUGUUGUGCUUUAGAAAGAAGACAAGACCUUUCUUUUUAAGCAGGCCUUUCAGUUUUAAUUUGUCAAUGGUGACUUUUAAUUGCUAACUCUUAUUGAACUUUCAAACUGCCUGGGUGGAAAAGAUGGGUGUCAAUCAAAUAAACUCUCAGUGCCAAUUGCCGUCAGCCCAAGGUGUUCAUUGUUCUGAGCGUGAAUUCAGAACAGGGGAUUAAGAGUUAUUUAUUUUAUGUGCUACUCCUUCUGAAGACUAUUAGGAAACCAGCUGCUCCUUACAUCUUGAUCAACAUUACCUUCCUAUCAGUCAGAACAGGUAUGAUUCUUGGCAUUAUUCAAGGAGCUAGUCAUUUAAAAAAUGCUUUUUGUUGCGUAAGUGCCUGCAUUGUGAGGGAGUGUUUUUUUAUGUAGACCAAUGUCUUCUGAGAUUUAGAAUACAUAAAAAGCUUUUUUCUGCAGAUACAGCAGAAUGAAAUAGUGUGAAAAUCUUUGCCUCUCUCUUUGCAAAUACUCAGCUUAAAAAUGCUUGUUCCAGGGAUUUUUUUUUCCUCCUGAUUGUUCAGUUAGUUUAUAUUUCUUUCGGUCCUUAAAAUGAUGGGUUGUUUUUUUUUAAUCUGUUACAUUUGCACUGUUUGAUUGGAUUGAUUCUGUUAUUUUUGUUUUGUUAAUGAUGUUGUGUAUUGGUAGUAUUCACCCAAGACAACAUUAUAUAGAACAUUUAAAUAUAAAUAAAAUAAUUUGGAUUUGAAUGUGGUCUUUGAAUUUAACCACAGUGAGCUUGGUCCAGCUUUAUAAAUUUUCUAAGACAUGUUCUAACAAAUGUUGAGUUGGGCAGAGGAUAAGUAACAUUAAUUAAGAUUCAUAUUCCUCACUAGCGAUAAGAAUGGACUAUUUUCUUUUUCAUAUAGUGAUUUUAUUAAAAGCACAAUUGUGAAAGUAAAAACUAAUACAAAUAAAAAAUUUAAAAAAUACAGGAAAGAAGAAAAAUAUAAAAAUAUAAAAAUAAAAUAUAAUAAAGAAAAACAGAAAUAUUUAUUUAUCAAAUUUCACUUGUAUUUAAUACUUCAUUCAUUAAGGAUUGAAGGAAGUUCUAAUAACUAAAAAAUAGUUAACAAGUAUUUCUAAAAGUGCUAGAAAAGGAAGAGUGCAAAUCCCAGUAUUCUUUCAAAGGCACCAAUUAUGGUUUUAGCAAGACGGCUAUUCGCUUGUUUCCCAAAACUAAACCUAUGGGGGUCUGCUGUCUUGUGUUCUUCUUGCAAAGAGUAGCUGUCUGGAGUACUUGUAGGUGAUCUCAAGUCCUCUUUAUCCAGAAAGGAAUUAUGAAGAGCCAGUCUACUUGCCAGUUCUUCAUUAUGCCACCAAUUUAGUGCAAUAAAAUAAUUUGUGUCCAAUAUUAGCUACACUUUAGCAAAGUUUUACUUAUAAUAUAGGGGUAUGAUUGGGUUCAUGAACCUUUUGAGACAGUUAACUAGUUACUACAUUUUCACCAUUCCCACAGUUCUACAGUAUUUACAGCAGCUAAUAAUAGCCCCACAUUCAUUGAUUGAUUGAAUUUAUAUCCCACCUUCCAGGAGUACAGGGUAGCCUAUAUAACAUUCCCUCUUCCAAUUUUUCCCCACAACCGUCAUCUUGUGUGAUAGAUUUGAGUGAGAAUGAUUGGUCCAAAGUCACCCAGUGAACUUUCAUGACUGAUGGUACACUUGAAUGUGAGUUCCCCUAUAUUAAUUCAGUACCUUAAGGUACUCAUUAAGUGUACUACAUUCCUGUGUGUUUUAUUUAUGUAUUUAUUUGCAGUAUACUUGGAUACAAAUUAUCCUACACACUCCCGAUUUUGAAGAAACUAUUUAAAAUAGCAUGAGUUUCAGUUCCGAACGUUAAUCAAGAUAACAUCUUUAGUUGAAGGGGCAGAAUGUUGAAGCUUCAAGUUUAUGAAAUUGCCUGGAGAAUCCCUUCAACAAUGCACAAGGAUGAUAAUGCUUUAAGCUAAAGUACUUUUUAAGAACUUCCAAUUACUUUUAAUAGAGUGUCUUUUUAAUUUGUUGUUUAGCAUUAUCCUCAAAUGAGAAUUGUCCCAGAUGUCUGGUGAAGUCAGACAAGAUGCACAAAUGCUGAAAUGAUAAUACCCUUCAGAGAUUUUAACAUACCACAACAUUCUUGUUAUUUUUGCUAAAGAAGAUUAACAUGGCUUCUCCUUUGGAAAUUGUUCAAGAUAAUGUGGAAGAGAAGUUACUUUAGGAAAAAGCUUCCAAUCCUAUGCAUCAGAAUUCAUGCUACUUUGAAACAGGAGCCAUUCACCCCCACAAAAAUUGUAUUGUUUCAAAAGAGGAAUUUUCAGACUGACUACUUUUCAUGGUACAAAGGCU
Molecule: RNA transcript, 5961 nt
Organism: Crotalus tigris (Tiger rattlesnake)
Lineage: Eukaryota; Metazoa; Chordata; Lepidosauria; Squamata; Viperidae
Gene: CEP112
Gene name: centrosomal protein 112
Exons: 28
Source: RefSeq, a predicted model, not a curated record